RNAcentral lists this non-coding RNA (152 nucleotides) under Homo sapiens (human). The record is from Rfam by way of RNAcentral. Lineage: Eukaryota; Metazoa; Chordata; Mammalia; Primates; Hominidae.
GCCGGGCAUGGUGGCACAUGCCUGUAGUCCCAGCUAUUUGGGAGGCUAAGUCAGGAGGAUAGAUUGGGCCCAGGAGGUCUAGGCUGCAGUGAGCCAUGAAUGAUCACACCACUGCACUCAAGCCUGGGCAACAGAGCAAAACCCUGUCUCAA